RNAcentral lists this unclassified non-coding RNA (830 nucleotides) under Arabidopsis thaliana (thale cress). The record is from RNAcentral. Lineage: Eukaryota; Viridiplantae; Streptophyta; Magnoliopsida; Brassicales; Brassicaceae.
UUAGUAAAGAGAAAACUGUUAGGUAUAAAUUGAACACUGAUACUUUGUUUGGAUAUGAAAAAAUUGACUUUCCUCUUUGUGCAGCUCCGGCGUCUACUACUUUGAUGGGAAGAGUUCAUCAUCAUCGUCACCAACUAAUAACAGAGGAUUUGGAAAAGUAAUUCUAGAGAUCCAAACUAUCACCUUCGCUUCUCACUAUCGCUCAACUCACCAUCGUCGUUGAAACUCACCAUCGUCGCCAACGCUAAUUGGAGGUCGAGAUCUUGCCGUCUUUUUCAUCACGAGACAUGAUUCAUGAGUCACCGCCGUUGCUUCUUACCGUUGUCAAAAUCGUUGUUGUUGCAGGAGCUCAAUCACCAUUGUAGGUUCAGUGGUAAGGGUAAACUCGUAAAAUACUUGCAUAGAAAAAUACUUAAAUCUAUAAGGCAUAUGAGAUAUGUCUGUUUUCAUAAAGAUAUAAACUUAAUUGUGUCAAUCCCAUAAUUAAUCCCUAAAUUGUGAGUUGCAGUUUUAGAGUUUAUGAGUCUUUUUUAAAAAAAUUAUUAUGUUCCAUUUUAAUAUAUUUUAGUACCAGGUUUACUUCCCCUUUUUUUUGGGUUUUAACUUCUUUCUUGUUUGAGUUUUGCUUUAGAGAUUUUAGUUUUUGUAAAGCAAAAAUUUGCUCCUGAUGAAUCAUGCCUAAUGCUACCUGUUCUUAUUGUCGAUUUGGUAGUCUUUCAUUGCAGCAAAUAUUCUUUCAAUCACUUCUUUCAAAAAAUCUACAUAUACAUUUUUGCAGCCAUUUUAACAAAUAAAUCCUGAAUUUGGACUUAUUUACAACUCAAUGCCAU